RNAcentral lists this ribosomal RNA (119 nucleotides) under Pteropus alecto (black flying fox). Lineage: Eukaryota; Metazoa; Chordata; Mammalia; Chiroptera; Pteropodidae. The record is from RNAcentral.
GUCUACAGCCAUGCCACUCUGAACAAGCCCGAUCCCGUCUGAUCUCAGAAGCUAAGCAGGGUCGGGCCUGGUUAGUACUUGGAUGGGAGACCACCUAGGAAGAUCAGGUGCUAUAGGUG